ACUCCUACGGGAGGCAGCAGUGGGGAAUAUUGGACAAUGGGCGAAAGCCUGAUCCAGCCAUGCCGCGUGAGUGAUGAAGGCCCUAGGGUUGUAAAGCUCUUUCACCGGUGAAGAUAAUGACGGUAACCGGAGAAGAAGCCCCGGCUAACUUCGUGCCAGCAGCCGCGGUAAUACGAAGGGGGCUAGCGUUGUUCGGAAUUACUGGGCGUAAAGCGCACGUAGGCGGAUUGUUAAGUGAGGGGUGAAAUCCCAGGGCUCAACCCUGGAACUGCCUUUCAUACUGGCAAUCUCGAGUCCGAGAGAGGUGAGUGGAAUUCCGAGUGUAGAGGUGAAAUUCGUAGAUAUUCGGAGGAACACCAGUGGCGAAGGCGGCUCACUGGCUCGGUACUGACGCUGAGGUGCGAAAGCGUGGGGGGCAAACA
Molecule: ribosomal RNA, 422 nt
Filed under: uncultured bacterium
Lineage: Bacteria
Description: bacterial SSU rRNA
Rfam family: Bacterial small subunit ribosomal RNA
Source: RNAcentral